RNAcentral lists this transfer RNA (65 nucleotides) under Carterocephalus silvicola (northern checquered skipper). Its description in RNAcentral is "tRNA-His". Lineage: Eukaryota; Metazoa; Arthropoda; Insecta; Lepidoptera; Hesperiidae. The record is from RNAcentral.
ACUUAAAUAAUUUAAAUAAAAUAUUGAUUUGUGGAGUCAAAAAUAUGAGAUAAUCCUUUUAGGUU